GAGGGUAUAGCUCAAGUGGUAGAGCACAUGUUUAGCAUAUACAAGGUCCUGAGUUCAAUCCCUAGUACCUCCU
This is a transfer RNA of Camelus ferus (Wild Bactrian camel), 73 nucleotides long. It matches the Rfam family "tRNA". From Rfam's summary of the family: Transfer RNA (tRNA) molecules are approximately 80 nucleotides in length. Their secondary structure includes four short double-helical elements and three loops (D, anti-codon, and T loops). The record is from Rfam. Lineage: Eukaryota; Metazoa; Chordata; Mammalia; Artiodactyla; Camelidae.